This 948-nucleotide ribosomal RNA is filed under the name uncultured Mesoplasma sp. RNAcentral describes it as "bacterial SSU rRNA". It matches the Rfam family "Bacterial small subunit ribosomal RNA", at positions 485 to 1443 of the family's 1533-position model. Lineage: Bacteria; Bacillati; Mycoplasmatota; Mollicutes; Entomoplasmatales; Entomoplasmataceae. The record is from RNAcentral.
AGAAAGCCACGGCGAACUAUGUGCCAGCAGCCGCGGUAAUACAUAGGUGGCAAGCGUUAUCCGGGAUUUAUUGGGCGUACAGGGUGCGUAGGCGGUUGUGUAAGUUUAAGGUUAAAUCCCAGAGCUCAACUCUGGUUCGCCUUAAAAACUACAUNACUAGAAUGCAAGAGAGGUAAAUGGAAUUCCAUGUGUAGCGGUAAAAUGCGUAGAUAUAUGGAAGAACACCUGUGGCGAAAGCGGUUUACCAGCUUGUGAUUGACGCUGAGGCACGAAAGCGUGGGGAGCAAAUAGGAUUAGAUACCCUAGUAGUCCACGCCGUAAACGUUGAGUACUAGGUGUCAGGAAUUAUCUUGGCGCCGCAGCUAACGCAUUAAGUACUCCGCCUGAGUAGUAUGCACGCAAGUGUGAAACUCAAAGGAAUUGACGGGGACCCGCACAAGUGGUGGAGCAUGUGGUUUAAUUCGAAGCAACACGAAGAACCUUACCAGGGCUUGACAUCCAGUGCAAAGGCAUAGAGAUAUGCUGGAGGCUAACAUUGAGACAGGUGGUGCAUGGUUGUCGUCAGUUCGUGCCGUGAGGUGUUUGGUUAAGUCCAGUAACGAACGCAACCCUUGUCAUUAAUUACUAACAUUUAGUUGAGGACUUUAAUGAGACUGCUAGUGUAAGCUAGAGGAAGGUGGGGAUGACGUCAAAUCAUCAUGCCCCUUAUGUCCUGGGCUACACACGUGCUACAAUGGCUGAUACAAAGAGUCGCAAUCUCGCAAGGAGGAGCUAAUCUCAUAAAAUCAGUCUCAGUUCGGAUUGAAGGCUGCAACUCGCCUUCAUGAAGCCGGAAUCACUAGUAAUCGCGAAUCAGCUAUGUCGCGGUGAAUACGUUCUCGGGUCUUGUACACACCGCCCGUCACACCAUGAGAGUUGGUAACACCAGAAGUAGGUAGCUCAACCGAA